GAGAAUCUAGUAUGUGGGCUUGGAGAGAUUUUUAAAGAGAAAGAAAAGAUGAAGACCAUUCCCCCAUCAGCUUUCUUCCCAUGCUGCUGCCGCCCUCUCCUUCUAUGGUUUCCCCUUUCUUUUUCUUCAUUUUCUCUUCAAAUUUCUUAAAGAACCAACGAUCAAACUUAGAGAUUUUACUAAAACCACUUAGAAAACAAUCUCUAUAUUAGUUUUCCGCCAUUGAAACCUCCAUUUUCAGCAAGGGUUUAUGAGUUUUUUGUUUGAGAAAGUAAAGAUAGAAGGAGAAAGUUUUAAAAAGGUGGCGCAACAAUGAUGGUUUUCACAAUUUGCAUAUUCUACCAUCUUGGGUGGCUCGAAAAUGAUGGCUUUCACUGUUUGCAUAUCCUACCAUCCCAGGUUGCCUGAUAACGAUGGUGGCUUAAAUUCACCAUAUUGAUGACCCUAUGGCAAGUCAACUAUAUAUGAUUAUGCCCGAACAUCUAAUAAGGAAUUGUGAUGAUUAAAUUGAUUUGGAUGUUUGCACUAUGAUUGGAUUGAUAAAUGCUUGAAUGUAUGAGGGCAAGCAUUGGCUAAGUGAGGAAGGGAGAGGUUGGGGGCACUCGUUUAAAAUAUGGGUAAGACUCAGGCUUCCAUAUUCAAAGUUCAGAUCUAGUAUGACUUGAUCCAUUUUAAGUUUAUGUUUUAUUAUUUUCUUAUAUAUUAUGAAAUUUAUAUAAUAUGAAAUUGAAAUAUACUAUAUUUAUAAUAUCAAUAUUAAAAAUAUGUUA
This is a long non-coding RNA of Gossypium arboreum, 770 nucleotides long. RefSeq lists it as uncharacterized. The transcript has 3 exons. Lineage: Eukaryota; Viridiplantae; Streptophyta; Magnoliopsida; Malvales; Malvaceae. The record is from RefSeq and is a predicted model, not a curated record.